Molecule: long non-coding RNA, 457 nt
Organism: Amphiprion ocellaris (clown anemonefish)
Lineage: Eukaryota; Metazoa; Chordata; Actinopteri; Pomacentridae
Source: Ensembl
GUGUGUGUGUGCGUGCGUGUGUGUUCAUGCGCCCACUGAACAUUUGCCAUAAGGAAGCACAGAGCACUGCAUUGUUUCUGCCUACGAGCGAGUGUGUGUGCAGCCACAGCGAUGGCAUGCGUGAAGGGGUGUGCUUUAAAGAUGGCAAGAGGAAAAGGUGCAACAGAAAAUUGGACCUUCCAAGCGUACUUGUGGAGAUGCAGGCUGAGGAGGAGCGGAACCGGCACCCAGCAUGAUGAGAACAUCUGGUUGCUCCUCAGCGAGGCAAGAGAGAAUGAAGCGGCCUUGCAGCGGGAGGAGAUGGUCCAGAAUGCUGCCUUCAACCAGUCAUUCCUGGGUGUACUGGGGCAGCUGGGGCAGGCAGUGGGCAGCCAGCGAGUCCACCUCCCAGAGACUUGAGAUUUAGUUGUAUAUAGUUUUACUUUUAGCCCUCCACUGUAGGAGAGGCCCACCACAG